UACGUAGGGGGCAAGCGUUGUCCGGAUUUAUUGGGCGUAAAGAGCGUGUAGGCGGCCGUACAGGUCAGCUGUGAAAACUCGAGGCUCAACCUCGAGACGUCGGUUGAAACCGUACGGCUAGAGUCCGGAAGAGGAGAGUGGAAUUCCCGGUGUAGCGGUGAAAUGCGCAGAUAUCGGGAAGAACACCAGUGGCGAAGGCGGCUCACUGGCCCGGUACUGACGCUGAGGUGCGAAAGCGUGGGGAGCAAACAGG
RNAcentral lists this ribosomal RNA (253 nucleotides) under uncultured bacterium. RNAcentral describes it as "partial 16S ribosomal RNA". It matches the Rfam family "Bacterial small subunit ribosomal RNA", at positions 524 to 776 of the family's 1533-position model. The record is from RNAcentral.